This 254-nucleotide ribosomal RNA is filed under the name uncultured bacterium. RNAcentral's name for it is "partial 16S ribosomal RNA". It matches the Rfam family "Bacterial small subunit ribosomal RNA", at positions 524 to 777 of the family's 1533-position model. The record is from RNAcentral.
UACGUAGGUGGCAAGCGUUGUCCGGAUUUACUGGGCGUAAAGAGCGCGCAGGCGGUCGGGUAAGUCGAAUGUGAAAGCCCCUGGCUCAACUGGGGAGGGUCAUUCGAUACUGCUCGACUCGAAGGCAGGAGAGGGAAGCGGAAUUCCCGGUGUAGUGGUGAAAUGCGUAGAUAUCGGGAGGAACACCAGUGGCGAAGGCGGCUUUCUGGCCUGUUCUUGACGCUGAGGCGCGAAAGCUAGGGGAGCAAACGGGG